GAUGAACGCUGGCGGCGUGCCUAAUACAUGCAAGUCGAGCGAACAGACGAGGAGCUUGCUCCUCUGACGUUAGCGGCGGACGGGUGAGUAACACGUGGAUAACCUACCUAUAAGACUGGGAUAACUUCGGGAAACCGGAGCUAAUACCGGAUAAUAUAUUGAACCGCAUGGUUCAAUAGUAAAAGACGGUUUUGCUGUCACUUAUAGAUGGAUCCGCGCCGCAUUAGCUAGUUGGUAAGGUAACGGCUUACCAAGGCAACGAUGCGUAGCCGACCUGAGAGGGUGAUCGGCCACACGGGAACUGAGACACGGUCCAGACUCCUACGGGAGGCAGCAGUAGGGAAUCUUCCGCAAUGGGCGAAAGCCUGACGGAGCAACGCCGCGUGAGUGAUGAAGGUCUUCGGAUCGUAAAACUCUGUUAUUAGGGAAGAACAAAUGUGUAAGUAACUAUGCACGUCUUGACGGUACCUAAUCAGAAAGCAACGGCUAACUACGUG
This 497-nucleotide ribosomal RNA is filed under the name uncultured bacterium. RNAcentral's name for it is "partial 16S ribosomal RNA". It matches the Rfam family "Bacterial small subunit ribosomal RNA", at positions 28 to 507 of the family's 1533-position model. The record is from RNAcentral.